UUUAACUGAAGAGUUUGAUCAUGGCUCAGAUUGAACGCUGGCGGCAGGCUUAACACAUGCAAGUCGAGCGGUAACAGGGGAGCUUGCUCCUGCUGACGAGCGGCGGACGGGUGAGUAACGCGUAGGAAUCUACCUAGUAGAGGGGGACAACAUGUGGAAACGCAUGCUAAUACCGCAUACGCCCUAAGGGGGAAAGGAGGGGACUUUUCGGAGCCUGCCGCUAUUAGAUG
RNAcentral lists this ribosomal RNA (230 nucleotides) under Marinomonas sp. UCMA 3892. RNAcentral's name for it is "partial 16S ribosomal RNA". It matches the Rfam family "Bacterial small subunit ribosomal RNA", at positions 1 to 227 of the family's 1533-position model. Lineage: Bacteria; Pseudomonadati; Pseudomonadota; Gammaproteobacteria; Oceanospirillales; Oceanospirillaceae. The record is from RNAcentral.